UGAUCGGCUGCCCGGGGCUGCCAUCAUGGGAAGGGCGAAGUAAAGGAGGGUAGUCAGCUGCUGCCGCCCUCUUAGGGAGGUCGUAAAGCCAAAGGGCUCAGAUAGGGAGCUCGACCCUGGGAGCAGGUUUGGCGGAUCGGAAGGGACGGGCAGAUGGUUGGUGCCAUCUCUCUUUCUCUUUGCCUCCCCCACUACGGAGCAGGCUUGGGGGGAGGCAGCACGCUUGGAUGGAGGAAGGAAUGAAGGUUCCUUUACAUCUCUCUCCCUCUGGCUCCCCUGCUGACUGAGCAUCCAGCUCUUAGCUAGCUCUCCACAGGCAGAGCCAAGAGCAACUUUUUAAAUGAAAACAGCUUUUCCAGUUAUGACAUUACACCACACCCCAAAUUCUUCAUAGAAAUAUUGUUCUGAUAUGAAUAUGGCAUGACUAAGACAUGUUUUAUGCAAGAGGAGUCAUGUGAGGUAUCAUUGAAAAGGUUAUGAUCUACUGAAUGUGUUUAUCCAAUUUGUAUGCAUGUAUCAUUUUUGUAUCUGAAGCUAGGAAUAUUGAACAUGUAUCAGUAUUUCAAAUGUGCUACUCUGGGUAACACCCAUAACUAGCCCUUCAGGUACAACAAUGAAAAAGUCAGACAGGGCUGAUGGGCCAUCAGCAUAGACAAUGGACUGUGAAAGAGCUUAGUCUUCAUGUGGACGCUCCAGACAGCUUGUGAGUAAUGGCUGCUAUGACCCUGUAGAGAUAUGUGACUGAGUCACCUGGUACUGGACCCCACCUUGGAAUGCCAGUGUUUUUUCACUGGAAGACAAAGGGUUCCUGUCAUACACAAAAAGCUAUAUAAGGCAGGGGAGUGAUAUCAUCGUGGUUGUCGUCUGCCUCCCCACCCAAAAAGAUGCUGGGAAACACCUGAAAAUAAGAACUGAACUUGGGGGAAAAGAGUAGAGCCCAGGCUGGAAGGGUGUCUAGCCUGUGAGUAAGAAUACCUGAAGUUUCACGCUGCAUGCCAGUGCAGCUGGCUUCCAAGAACCUUUGCAAUCUGCCUGAAACAACAUUUAGGAUAAGUUUCAUAGUUUCAUAGAUACUAAGGUCAGAGGGACCAUUAUGAUCAUCUAGUCUGACCUCCUGCACAAUGCAGGCCACAGAAUUUCACCUACCCAUUCCUGCGAAAAACCUCUCACCUAUGUCUGAGCUAAUGAAGUCUUCAAAUCGUGGUUUAAAGACUUCAAGUAGCAGAGAAUCCUCCAGCAAGUGACCCGUGCCCCAUGCUACAGAGGAUGAGAAAUUACUAUUUGUAGCUAAUUUCUUUAGUGAUUCAAGCUUAGUUUAUGUGUUUUGUUUUAUUUGCUUAGUAAUCUGCUUUGUUUUGUUUGCUAUCCCUUAUAAUCACGUAAAAUCUGCCGUUUAUAGUUAA
Molecule: long non-coding RNA, 1403 nt
Organism: Chelonia mydas (Green sea turtle)
Lineage: Eukaryota; Metazoa; Chordata; Testudines; Cheloniidae
Exons: 2
Source: RefSeq, a predicted model, not a curated record